This is an RNA transcript of Lagopus leucura (white-tailed ptarmigan), 10925 nucleotides long. RefSeq lists it as uncharacterized. The transcript is spliced from 8 exons. NCBI's taxonomy places the organism in Eukaryota, Metazoa, Chordata, Aves, Galliformes, Phasianidae. The record is from RefSeq and is a predicted model, not a curated record.
CUCCGGAUUGAUGGACGGCCGAUCCAGCCAAUCGCCUCGCCUCGCUGCUUGGCUGCAGCCAAUAGGAGGGAGCGAGGCGCGGUGGGAGCCAAUAGGGGAGCGGCACAGCCGGCCAGGGGGACAGCCCGGCUGGGAGCGGAGGAUCAUUCCGUGCUGGUGGCUGAUGGGGAAGGAGCGGCGCGGCUCCGCGGUGGGGCUGGGGCGCGCCGUGCUCCCCCCCUCACCGCUCUCCCCCCGCCGCUCUGCCGGAUCCUGGGGGAGGCGCCGAGGGGCGGGGAGCGGCGCUUACAGCCGGAGCCGCCCGGGGAAGGGGCGCGCAGCCAGGAGGGAGGGAAAGGGUAUUUAUCUUACCCGUGUCGUUUGGAGGAGCUGCAGUGGGUGCAGCUCAGUGUGAAUUCUGUGGGACUGAGUGAGCUGGCAGAGAUGGAGCUGGAUCCAGUGUAAGGCGUGAACAAAGGUGAUCCCUAGGUUGAAGUUUCACCAAGGAGAUCUCGGUCUGGAAUGUGGUUUAAUGGCACAGGUGAAGAUCUUGGAAAAGUAGAGCAUCUAUAGGUGUGUGAUAACCAUUGAGUCCUGGCCUGAAGCACCGAUUGAGCAGCUGGGGAAAGGACUGGUCAGCCUUGGAGCACAGAUGUCACUGAUUGGAAAUGCUGUGUGCUGACAAACCUAUGGAAUCCUGUCUUGUCAGAGUCCCUACGGAGCUGGGCAGCAGUGCUGGGCUGAGCUCAGCUCACCAUGGUGGGAAGUGGUCGUGGGGAGCUGUGGUCAGUGUCCUGCUGGAAGAUGAAGAUACCCUGUUCUUGUCUGUACCUUCUGGUUUUUUACGUUUGAGUACAGAGAAGUUGAUGUUGUGCUGCACGUUUGUGUCACAACGUUCUGUCUUCAAACCCUGUUUCAAGUAGGAGAAAAGAACUAAAAAAAAGUAAAGUGAUGUGCUUAAUGGGAAGUAGUUGUUUUAAGGUGCCCAACUGAGAAGAGAAGAGACUUCUGCAGCCAUUUGGGUAACCUAAAGCACGAAGAUCAUGAUGCUGGUAUUUACGAGGUCUGCACACCAGGACUGUGAGUGCAAUUGGAGCCAAAGGAGCCUUGCUGUUCUGCUGGGGCUUUAUGAAAACUUCAGGAGCAUUUGAAAAGUUCUACUCUAUCUAGUGGCAGGAAAAAAGGAAAUGUAGUUUUUAUGCUUCACAGAAUCAUUAGGUUUUAAUUUAGCACAAGUAUCCCAGACCAACACAGAGUAUUUCUUUCUUAGAGUCAAAAUAAGAAGCAUCUAUGGUAGAAAGAGAGUACUGUGCAAAACUUGCUCCAGUGGGUAUGAGAGCUUUUCAGUCUGACAGUUUAAGUAGCGAAGAUGAAAGUGAGGACAGUUCUUGGGCAGGGGACUCAAAGAGGAAUGUGAUUCAUGGGGCACAGUGACUGGUGUAAUUAGCAGUGCAGCUGCUGCAGUGCCCUGUGCCAGUGCUAAAAAAGCCUGUUGUGGCCCGUGCUCUGCUGCUCGAGUGGCAGUGAUAACGAUGGCUGCAGCAGUGCCAGCUCCAGGCUGCUGUAUGGGAGUGGAGAGGUUUCUGCUGGGUUUCAAAUUGGCAUGGAACCAUCAUAGGCUUUCCUGAGGUGUUCAGGCUGAGGAAAAACUCUGGAAUUGGAAGUGGCAGAGUUUUGUUUUGUGUUCUCUGUAAAAAAUAGUAAAAGAGUAGCGAUACAGAGGGAUUGAAUUAAUCUGGUGAUGAGUAAAACCUGUCAAAUUCAGGCAAGGAAAAACCAAAGACUUGAACACCUUCAGUUUUAACAUUUUCAGCACGUGAGGUUUUAUUUCUGUAAUAAAUGCAUUUGUUUCGGUGUCCUAUUAAAUGAGGUUUAAAACUUCUUGCUGUGAUAGAACUUUCUAACUGUCAUUCUGCAAUAUCUGAAGCAUCUGACCUGUGGUUUGGUGUUUGUUUCCAUUUAUGCUGAGUGACACAUUUCAGACUUGACCCAGAGUGGAAUUUGGAGCGUGGAGCUCUUGAAGCGCUGGGACAAGGAGAAUGGGAAGGAAUGUUCUGCUGGAGCCAGGCUUCUUUCUCUGUAAAUGGCUGGACCAAGUGAGGAUGAGCUUUCACUGGAGAGUGGGGGGGAUUUUGAAAUACUAACCACAAAAUGUUACAUUCUGUCACUAAUGUGCACCAUCAGAACUCACUUCUCUAGCACUCGACAAAUGCAAUUUGCAUUUGAAAUUGAAGUGGAUUCCCCAAAGUCUUACAUCAGUCUCACAUCAAAGACAGCAGAAUUUCCUAGAAUUCAGGGACUCUGAUACUUACUGUCAGAGCAAUCUGCUUACCUGCAUUGCCCCAACAUCCGUGUUAGCAUCUCCUAACAUGCCACCUGUGCAGUGGAAGUAAUCAUUUUGUCCUGUCUGAGAGAACACUUAGCUUCCUUCCUGGCUGUUCCAAGUGUAAUACAACCAUAAAUACAUACACACGCAGUGCUUCUAAUUUCUUUGCCUUCCUUAUCCUCUUCAAAGGGUUUCUUGCUCUUUUUCAUCCUUUUCCUUGUCUUUGAUUUUGUUUCUAUCAAUUCCAUCUCCUUAGUCCUCCUGCCUCCCUCAAGUUUGUUUGGCAUUCUUCAGCAACGGUGUUUAUGGCUCGAUUCAAGAAAGAAAUUAAAGAGGGAAUCACAAGUUCCUGCAUCCUGAGGUAUCGAAGGUUGUCAGCUAAUUUACAAAAACAUGCUGUAAUCAUUCCUUGUUGUCCCUGCUGACUGAUGGUACGAGUUCCACAGGCUUAAAUCCAGGCACAAAGAUGAGUCCUAAAAUAACACUGCAGGGUUUCUCCUUGUGCAGUAAGAGACUCUGUGCUCGACCCAAGCACCUGCUGACUGCAACCUGAGUGACAGUAAGUAGUGUAGUUCUGUGGCUUGUGUGUCCAGCACGUAUAGAUGUGUACCCUGGGGCUCAGCACUAAUAAAGUCACCUUUUGUGAAAGCUGUAUUGCAUAUUGUCUUUGUCAUAGGUGGCUAUCAAUUUAUAGAACGACAGUCACAUGGUGCUCUUGGAAAUGCCAUUAAAUACUAAGAUUCUCAGUUUGCUUGAAGAUUGUGGAGGUUGUUUUGGUUUUAAUAACAAAAAUCUCAAGCCUGAGAAUGGUUCAGUCCUUUUCCCAUGGCAUCUUUGAGCCUUUUUCCAAUAUGAUAAGCAGGGUGAGAACUGAUUGUUUUAAAAAUUAAAAUAAUCUCCAUUUAAAGCCUAUGAAGUAAAAAUAGUUCUAGUUUGAAAAUGAAAAAUACUAUUUCAGAUGUUACAAAAGAAGGUUUGUUCACCUCAGCUCUGACUCUUCCCUCUCCUCAACAAUUAGAUAUUCACAGCCUCCAGAGGAGGUUAGCAAAUAGGCUGGUUCGAUUGGAAGGGGCCUACAAAGGUAACCAUGUCCAUUUGCAUCGCAUCUUAGGGCUGACCAAAAGCUAGAGCAGGUUUUGAGUGUCUUUUAGUGUGUUUGGGUUUUGUUUUGUUUGCUUGGGUUUUUUUGGCUGAUGUGUAGAGUAGUGUGACGUGUGCCCACUGCUUUUUUUUGCUUAGUUAAAUAAUUCAGCAGUUAAACUCCAGGGUAAAUCACAGGUGGGAAUGGGAUAUGAAACUUGUUUUACCCAGCUCCCUGAGUAACACGGGGUGCUGCAGUUUUUAGUGGUUCAAAAUGUUGAGGGAGAUGUGACCAAUGGAUUGAUAACUGAGUAACACCCGUGAGAUGGACAGAGUAGGAGGAAGAACUGAGUCUGUUUUAACGAUGAGUAAAUUGAGGUAAGUGAUCUGCACAUCAUGUGGGAAACCUGAAUAUAUAUUAUAUAUAUAUAUAUAUCCAAAUGUGAGCAGACCACAAACUUCCUAUUGGAGGUGCAGGCUGGGCUCUGCAUAUUCCGUGUGCCUUCUGCCAUUUUCUUGCCCAGUUACAGAAGUAGAUGCAGCUGCUCUUAAGACAUUUGGGAAGAAAAUGAAAAUUCAACAGAUUGAAGACUUGUGUUAGAAUAGGUGGGUGUUGCCUUUGUUCAAAGGGAGAGUGAAAGGGAAGGAAGUAAACUCUUUAGCCCAGAAGUUAUCAAAGCAGAGUUAAUUUUGAAGUAGAAGGGUGUUUUUAGAAACCUCCAGGGCAGGAUUCUCCUAUUGUAUAUUGAUCUGCACCAGGAAUACCUUUAAGGGGGAAGUAUUGUACUGGAAUAAGUAGAAUAAAUUGGUGCAGUGGAGGAGGCUGAACAGGUACCAGGUGUGGUGGCCUGGCUUGUACUGUUGAUGGAAUCAUUGCCAUUGGCCUCAUGAGCAUUUUGAUUUUGGCUUGUGAGCUGCUUGCAGUUCCAUUCCUGCAGUGAGGAUAAAGAGCAAUCAACAGAUUUGCACAGAAGCUGCUGAUAGACAUUAGCCAUGAGACCUAGCCUGGCAUUUAAAUAAAGCUUAAUUAAACAUAUGUUUUUUCUGGAAAUAUUUGAGAAUUUCUGGUGGUCACACUGGCAUUUUUCCUAUGGUGCACGUGGAGUCUGCAAUCAGCAAAAGCAGUUUUAUGGGGAGUAUGCACUGCGUGUCCUCUAAAGCUGUAAUUCAACUGUGUUUUGAGUCUGCUGAAGCAGGGUAGCUACAGGGGGGAGGCAGGACUUGGGCAAGUGACGUGCACUUUUACUGCAGUCAGUGCUGGGGUGAGGAUCCCUACCUCCUUCCCCAUGGUACCCUAACCCAGGGAGCACUGAAAUGGAGGCCUUCACAGGAAGAUAAACCUCAGUAUGCUUCUCCAGUGAAAUGUAUUACACAUUUGUUAGCUUUUGGGUAACAGCCAAAUCAUUCGUUGUCCCUCCCCACACACGCUUCCAUUUAUAAAUGAAUUCUUCAGUCUUUUGAAUGUCAUACAAAACUGUUCGAAACCAGACUUGAGCAAUUGAGAUUCAAUUAGUUCAAUCAGAGCGAUUCAAUUGACACAGCUGAGUUCUGCGAUCCGAACAAAAGAUUCUGCUGUAAUUGUGUAGCAAUAUAUAAAUGCUGAUACGAUUGUCUUGUCCUCAGCCCUCCAGAAGGAUGCACUGCAUUUUAAAACUUACUGCCAUGCACCCCGUUUCCUACUGGAUGCUUCUGUGGUGCCUCAGCCCCUUAUCGAAUUGGAGGUGGACACAAUCUAGUGGAAUACAGGAAGGUGUGCUUCCUGUGGGCAAACCUGCUGAAUGUUGGGCAUUAACAUGUAAUGCAUUGCUAACUUGGUGAACUGAGUUGGUCAUCCAGUCUGUCUUGAGACAGAUGAUCUUGUAUUACCCAUUUGCAGAUGAUGUUUCUGAUGAAUCAUUUGAGGCUGUGAUUCACAGCUUGACUGUAGUGAUGUUCAAGUCAAAAAAUGCACUUUAUCUCAGAGCAGGAAGGGCUAUGCUGUCUGCUUUUCUUGAAUCUACACCUGUCAGUCUGCAAUGUGCAACUGAGUGCAAAGCCAAGAAAAAAACAAGAAGUUUACUCACCAGCAUGAGAGCCAAGAAGCAGCAGUUUCCUUGGUCAUCUUGCUUCUGCCACAAGCAGCCAUGUCCUUAGACCUGUUUUCCAAUGGUUCUAUGACUGGUUGCCACCAGGUUUUUUUCUGCACCUUCCUACUUCUUUCUUGACCAUGUCAGGUUUGUCUCUUAAGGUUUUCUGUAGGUGAUGGAAGACCAGAAUCGUUCAUCUCACGUCCCUCAUUUUUGCAUGAGCAUGAAACCAAUGGUCUUACCAGCAGUUCUGGUGUUACCUAGCUCUGUUUUCUGUCAGAAGUUAAAAUCUCAUGUUGUCUGUGUAAAUGAAGCAUCAGCUCAUGCAUCACGUAAUUAAAGCAGAGAUUCUCAUCUUCCUCUGCCAGUCCUCCUUCAUCACUGUCUCAGGCACAGCAGAUGAAACAGCCUUAUUUGCUUAUCAUGCAAAUUCAAAUCAGGCAUCGUCUGAAAUAAGACUCUCUAAUCCUUCCUAGGGUUGUCUAGACUUCCAUAUUUCUAUGUGAGAUUUUAGAGAUGAAUUCCUUGGCCGUCUGCACAUGUAAAACUUCUGCAAUGUUUCACUGUCUAAUUAAUCACUCCUUCCAACGUUGUUUUCCCUAACACGACAUAUUUACUCCACGCAGGGUGGUGUUGUGCAGGGUAGUGGUUUGAUAGAGCAGCCCUUUCUUCUCCCAGAUUGCAGCGUGCCAGCCUCUGUUCUCUGCUUGUUGCAUGUAAGAUCAUUAUUUUCAUAUGAGGAAGAAUAUCACAAGCAGCCUCUUCUCCUAAGCAACCUUGACUUUCCUGUAAGGAUCACAGCCGUCCUUGGUUAUCUCCUUCCAUGCAGCUGGGACUGCUCAGUGCUGCCUUGCUGCUUCCCUGGGUAUUCCUACCUGUCUAUUGUGCUGUUAUCUCUUGUGUUACAUUCUCGCGCCUCUUGUGGAAUUUCUCUCAUGUUUAUUCUGCCCCAGGACCUGGCGUGACUCAGAGGUUGGACUUGAUAGACAUGAUAGUAAAACAAAUAAUGAUGGAACAUGAAAAAAUCAGACCUUGACUGGCAAGUAUGGAGAGUGAGCUGGUGUGUAAUUCCAUUCAGGGCAGGGUCAGCACAGUGUUCUUCUGUGUUCCGAGCAGAUGUUUGUGUGGGCUGCUCUUGGAGGUCCCUGAUAAUGGAAUUUCUGCUCCCCAACCAUUUGUUCCGUUACCUUGCUGUCCUCGCUCGUCAUAUUGUCUGACCUGAAUCUUCCCUUUCUUUUCAAAUGGGCGAUGAAUGGGAAAAAGGCGUUUCCAUUUCCUUUUGGAGCUGUUAAUAUUUAGUUGAAAGUACUGACAGAUUUUGUGGUCUCUGUCAGGGCAGCCACCUCUGUUUCUCCAUUCUCUCCCUGCAGGUUGUUUUCUGAACAGGCACUUGCUCUGACUGGCUUUCUGGCUGUAAGCUGUGUGAAGCAGGCUUAGGGCUCAGCAUUCAAAGCUGGGUGCUCUACUCCAAUGAGAUCUAGCUUAUUGUUCUUUCUGCAGUGGAAGUGGCAGCAGUGAUAAGUUGGAGGUAAUUCUCGAUGAGGAUCUGAGUCUGGAUGGUCAAUGCGUCAGUGCCAAACUAUUUGAUUGGCAUGAGGAAACUGCGUGGCUUUGGGCUGGGAACACAACUGGAAAAGAUGCUGAGGCUGUCCAGAAGUCCAUGGUGGGAUGUAAGGUGUCUGAUCUUUUUCACGGUGUUCUGGAUUUAUCCUUGCAGCAGCUAGGAUAUCUGUUAUUUCAAAAACCAUUCCUUCUCUGACACUUGUCCCUUAGGUAGCGUAGGUAGGAGGAGGAAUUCUAUCCUUUUUCAACCUCCACUUUUGGGAACCUGAGCAAAAGCGAAGCACCUGUGUACGUGAUAGCAUCCAUUACCAAGGUAACGUCAGUUGUUCUUCUCUGGACUUGUUCCUUGCUAGCAAGAAUAAUUACUUACUCAUUUUUCUUAACUAUCUCAUCCUGGGUCUCAUUCACAAUGUGAGGGAUCCCAGUUUAAUUGCUGAAUCUUGAAUUUUAGAGACAACAUAAACAAAUGUAACUGUAUCAGAUGCUUUGAAGAGUCUGCAGGCUGAAAUGUGUCCUUCCCAUCCACACAACUCAGUGCUGAGGCAGCUGAGGAGCAUGCUCUGCCAACGCCAGGCCAAGCAAAACCUCACCAGGAUUCUCAGACUGAUAAAACCAAUACUGGAGGAAAUGGAGAAAAAUCUGAAUAGAAUUUCUUAUUAUUAACUGCUAUCUGUACUGAGUGCAGUAUUACUAUUCUAGGCCUUCGAAAAUGACAUGUUAUUUUCCUUUCCUUUUAAAUAUGACAAAAGCAAGCCUCAGACUAAGUAGCAGAUAUUAAAUAUUGAAUAUUCCAAAAGGAUUUUUCAUCUGUUAAACAUAAAGACUUCUCUCCAAAAAGAAGCAGGCUGGUUAGGCCAUAUAUGUUUGUUUUUCUCCAUGCAGGAUGCGUUUUCCCACUUCAGCUUAAGCUGGAUAAACAGUUGAGUAAAUGGAAGCACUUUCUCUUAACAGAAAUGCUAUUACUAAAAACAGUCAGUGAUUUAAUCAAUUGAGUUUCACAGUAUUCACAGUUCACCCUCUUGUGUGCUAGAGUUCAGCACUGUACAAACAGGAUCAGAAAUUCUUUGCUUACCUAGCAGCAAACUGGCUGCUUAGUCAGACACACUGUUGAGUGUUCAGUGCUGAAAUAAAGUUUUGAUAAUUGAGCUUUCUCCUACAGCGCCAUUUGUUGUGGGGUCAGAUUCUUCAGGUAGCGGCUGUGCAAAGCACCUCAGCUGCUGCGUCCUCUGAACGAAGUGCAAACACUGAUCUUUGCAUGGAAUGGGUGGUGGGAGAUGAGCUGGGGAAAUACUCAGAGGCUUCCAACGUUAUUGCUGCUCAUGGGCUGCAUUUCUCUUUUUGAAGAUUCCCAGAGCUUGCAAUAUAUGGUGUAUAUUUAAAAGCCUCGUGAGGAUGGGAAUAAAACACAUUUUUCUUUCUUUUCUCCGUACUUCACGAAUUGCUCCUUUCUUGAAAGCCACAAAUGAUGGAACCUUGUUUGUUUUCUUACAUCCAUUUCUGCUGUUCUCACAGUCGUCUUAAAAACGUUCUGUUUCUGUCAUUGUUCCUUAAAUAUUUGCUUUCCAAUCUCAGAUGGCCUUAUGAAUGGAAACCCAUAGGAACUGAAUGUUUGUGUUUAUUAACGCUUCAACUUCUGCUGGUUAAGAGCUCUGGAAAAUAGAGCAGCAUGGGCAAAACAAGAGUUGCAUUUUGAAAUGCUGUUUGUGCAAGUGCUGUGGUUGCUGUCUGUUUCCUCCAAGGCAGCUUUAGGAGUCAAGGAGGUGUUCAAAACUGACAGUUAAUUUGAGUGAAAAUAGAUGCAAAAAGUGUCUGUUGGCAGCUGUGGGAUGUCUUAACUAGAAAGUACAGCAAGUGUGGAUGAGAAUGCGUGUUUGUAAAGAAAGGUGGGUGUUCACCUGGACAGAAUCAGGUUCUGGAAUACAAAAAGGUUGAAUUAGCAUGUGCAGGUAUGUGGAACUGCAUUCCAAUGUGUGUCCUCACUCACAGUGACCAAGCAAACCGAGCUGCUGUGUAUGCUGGGCUUGUUUUACUGUGCCUGAACCUAAACCACUCAGAAGUUCGGGAUAAAUGAGUGUACAGAGGAGAAGAAAAAUGACUUGAGUGUUUGUAUUCUAUUUGCAUUCAGUAGUGUGUCUAUGAGCCUUAAAAAAGCCAACAAAACGAAGUUUCAGACAAUGCGUUUCUGCAUACAGGUUAGUGAAGGUAAGGUCUGGUGUACAGGGAAAGUCAGUGCAAGGAAAGUACUUGUUAUUGUGAUAGAAAUCAAUCAUUUUUUAUUCUGUGAGGUUGGAAAAAAAAAAAAAGAAAAAGGAUUCUAGUAUGAUAUUCAUUACGUUGGGUGAAUGCUAGAGGGGGAUUUUUGUUCCUCUGCAAUGAAGGCAGUGGCUCAGCAACUAAUAGUUAUCACAAACACCAACAAAACCUUUUCCCCUUGAUCUCAUCUUAGAAUCCCCAGCCUUCCUCUUCCUUCUGUCAAUACUUGUGUCUUUCUCUUCUUCUCUGACUGCAAGGGAAGCAUGGGUGCAACUUACAGCUAGGAGUAGGAAAUGAAUUUAAGCAAAGCGAGGUGCUGCUUGGAUAAUACACACAUUUCUGCAAAGGGCUUCCAUCACAAACCCAUCUUAGAAUCAUGGAGUAUCACGUUUGAUUAAAUGAACUCCAACAAAGAGAAGAGAAAAGGCAAUGAAGGAGGUGCAGAAGGAUUUGAGUUAACUAGGGCAUCCUAUUGAGAACCUCAAACAGCGAUGAAAGGCCUGCACUACUGAACAGGCAAAGUAAAAUAAUCUGAGUAUAACUGCAGUCUAUGGAACUGUGGUGCUCCAGAGGGGCUGUGAGUGGGCUCCUGCCAUCCUCUUGCAUUGCUGCUUGCUCUCCCUGAUCUGUUGUUUGCUCAAAUCAAACCCGAGGUCAGCAAAACACGUGCUGCUGUUGUGAGGUAAAUGCUGGGCAAGCGGUCAAACGACGGAGGCAGAUCCAACCACCUGCUGGCUAUUGAGGCCCCUGGUCUUUUUAUUUCACUGCUGGGAUUGCAGGCAGUGCCUUGUGAUAGCGGAGCAGAAGCUGGACGUUUGGCUGGUGAUACAGAUGGGAAGAACCAGUUUGGGUUGAGCCAGCACUGCCCUGUGUUGCAGAGCAUUUCUUCUUCCGAUGCAGUAAUAAUCGUACCUGCUGCUUAGCUUGUUCACUAAUAGGGAUGAGUGCAUGUCUUAUCCUUUUAAGGUAGAACAGCAAACACUAGAUGUGUAUUUGGUCAGCAUUAAGUGUCACGUUGCGUUCUAUCCGUAUUUCUUCUUGUUUCAAGCAUCAGGGACAGCCCUGUCCAGGCCAGGAGAAGCAGCAAAGGAUGAAACCCUGGGGCACCUGCUGGCUGUUCUGCACCACGCUGCACGAGGAGCUCAGCACGCAGCAGGAACUGCCACCCCCAGCAAUGGCACAACUGCUCCUUGGCUGCAAGCAUGCAGGAGGAAGGCUGGGGAGCAAAAAGAGCUGGUGAGGGGCACAGUGAGAAGGAAACCUGCUGUGCCAGCAAUGCCAUCCCCUCUGCCUCAGCCAGAUGUUUCUGUUGCUUUGUGUGGGUUUGAGUCUGCACAGCUGGCAGCAGCCAUGGCAGAGCUGGCAUCAGCAUUGCAGACUGGGGGUGCAAAAAGGGAGAAUGGCAUCCUUGAUCAGUUGAAGAAUGGAUUUGGUGACGUCUUUAAGGAGUGUUCUUGAAGAAGCCAUGCUAAAAAUCACACUGAAGCUUCGAAACUCCCAACCUGCUGCGAAAUGAUGAUGAAGGUUGCUCAGUGGGCUUCUCCAGACUGCAGGGGUGCCUAUGGGCGUGCAGGAUGACAAGGCAGUCACAUGUGGAGUAUCAGCAGUUACACACAACGUUCUGUGCAAAUGUGAUGAGAAUAAAUUGGCUCCAGCAA